AGGCUUUCAAAUCCGAGACUCCCUCGAUGGACUUUAUUAAAGAGGCGUCGACAACUUUCUAGUUUUCUUUCUUGUCUUCUGGCAACUUCUUCUUAUCUUCCUUUUCAGCUUCGAAGAACUCUCUCCCCCCCUUCUGCCCUUCUUUGUCUUCUUCUCGACUU
Long non-coding RNA from Hibiscus syriacus, 161 nucleotides. RefSeq lists it as uncharacterized. The record is from RefSeq and is a predicted model, not a curated record. NCBI's taxonomy places the organism in Eukaryota, Viridiplantae, Streptophyta, Magnoliopsida, Malvales, Malvaceae. The transcript has 3 exons.